Molecule: transfer RNA, 66 nt
Filed under: Malcus setosus
Lineage: Eukaryota; Metazoa; Arthropoda; Insecta; Hemiptera; Malcidae
Description: tRNA-Met
Source: RNAcentral
AAAAAGAUAAGCUAAUUUUAAGCUAUUAGGUUCAUACCCUAAUUAUAGAAAACUUUCUUCUUUUUA